RNAcentral lists this ribosomal RNA (495 nucleotides) under uncultured bacterium. Its description in RNAcentral is "partial 16S ribosomal RNA". It matches the Rfam family "Bacterial small subunit ribosomal RNA", at positions 29 to 506 of the family's 1533-position model. The record is from RNAcentral.
AUGAACGCUGGCGGCGUGCCUAAUACAUGCACGUCGCGCGAACAGACGAGGAGCUUGCUCCUCUGACGUUAGCGGCGGACGGGUGAGUAACACGUGGAUAACCUACCUAUAAGACUGGGAUAACUUCGGGAAACCGGAGCUAAUACCGGAUAAUAUAUUGAACCGCAUGGUUCAAUAGUGAAAGACGGUUUUGCUGUCACUUAUAGAUGGAUCCGCGCCGCAUUAGCUAGUUGGUAAGGUAACGGCUUACCAAGGCAACGAUGCGUAGCCGACCUGAGAGGGUGAUCGGCCACACUGGAACUGAGACACGGUCCAGACUCCUACGGGAGGCAGCAGUAGGGAAUCUUCCGCAAUGGGCGAAAGCUUGACGGAGCAACGCCGCGUGAGUGAUGAAGGUCUUCGGAUCGUAAAACUCUGUUAUUAGGGAAGAACAAAUGUGUAAGUAACUAUGCACGUCUUGACGGUACCUAAUCAGAAAGCCACGGCUAACUACGU